Molecule: ribosomal RNA, 253 nt
Filed under: uncultured bacterium
Lineage: Bacteria
Description: partial 16S ribosomal RNA
Rfam family: Bacterial small subunit ribosomal RNA
Source: RNAcentral
UACGUAGGGUGCGAGCGUUGUCCGGAAUUAUUGGGCGUAAAGGGCUCGUAGGCGGUUUGUCGCGUCGGGAGUGAAAACACUGGGCUUAACUCAGUGCUUGCUUCCGAUACGGGCAGACUAGAGGUAUGCAGGGGAUAACGGAAUUCCUGGUGUAGCGGUGAAAUGCGCAGAUAUCAGGAGGAACACCGAUGGCGAAGGCAGGUCUCUGGGCAUUAACUGACGCUGAGGAGCGAAAGCAUGGGGAGCGAACAGG